GCGGAAAGAGCUCGGCAAGGUUUUGAGCAACAGAUUGUGAAUCUGUAGGUCAAGGGUUCGAAUCCCUUUUUUCGCC
This 76-nucleotide transfer RNA is filed under the name Betaphycus gelatinus. RNAcentral's name for it is "tRNA-His". It matches the Rfam family "tRNA". Rfam says of the family: Transfer RNA (tRNA) molecules are approximately 80 nucleotides in length. Their secondary structure includes four short double-helical elements and three loops (D, anti-codon, and T loops). Further hydrogen bonds mediate the characteristic L-shaped molecular structure. tRNAs have two regions of fundamental functional importance: the anti-codon, which is responsible for specific mRNA codon recognition, and the 3' end, to which the tRNAs corresponding amino acid is attached (by aminoacyl-tRNA synthetases). tRNAs cope with the degeneracy of the genetic code in two manners: having more than one tRNA (with a specific anti-codon) for a particular amino acid; and 'wobble' base-pairing, i.e. permitting non-standard base-pairing at the 3rd anti-codon position. The record is from RNAcentral. Lineage: Eukaryota; Rhodophyta; Florideophyceae; Gigartinales; Solieriaceae.